Molecule: transfer RNA, 75 nt
Filed under: Actinoplanes xinjiangensis
Lineage: Bacteria; Bacillati; Actinomycetota; Actinomycetes; Micromonosporales; Micromonosporaceae
Description: tRNA-Trp
Rfam family: tRNA
About the family: Transfer RNA (tRNA) molecules are approximately 80 nucleotides in length. Their secondary structure includes four short double-helical elements and three loops (D, anti-codon, and T loops). Further hydrogen bonds mediate the characteristic L-shaped molecular structure. tRNAs have two regions of fundamental functional importance: the anti-codon, which is responsible for specific mRNA codon recognition, and the 3' end, to which the tRNAs corresponding amino acid is attached (by aminoacyl-tRNA synthetases). tRNAs cope with the degeneracy of the genetic code in two manners: having more than one tRNA (with a specific anti-codon) for a particular amino acid; and 'wobble' base-pairing, i.e. permitting non-standard base-pairing at the 3rd anti-codon position.
Source: RNAcentral
GCGGGUGUAGCUCAACGGUAUAGAGCACCGGUCUCCAAAGCCGAAUGUUGCAGGUUCGAAUCCUGCCACCCGUGC